RNAcentral lists this transfer RNA (68 nucleotides) under Faxonius sanbornii. RNAcentral's name for it is "Orconectes sanbornii tRNA-Asp". Lineage: Eukaryota; Metazoa; Arthropoda; Malacostraca; Decapoda; Cambaridae. The record is from RNAcentral.
UAAAAAUUAGUUAAUAUUAUAAUAAUAUAAGUUUGUCAGACUUAAGUAAUUUGAGUAAAUAUUUUUAU